GCCUGAAUAGCUCAGCUGGUAGAGCAGCGCAUUCGUAAUGCGAAGGUCGUCGGUUCGAUUCCGGCUUCAGGCA
RNAcentral lists this transfer RNA (73 nucleotides) under Chlamydiia bacterium. RNAcentral describes it as "tRNA-Thr". It matches the Rfam family "tRNA". Rfam says of the family: Transfer RNA (tRNA) molecules are approximately 80 nucleotides in length. Their secondary structure includes four short double-helical elements and three loops (D, anti-codon, and T loops). The record is from RNAcentral. Lineage: Bacteria; Pseudomonadati; Chlamydiota; Chlamydiia.